UGAGGGAAAGAUGAAAAGAACUUUGAAAAGAGAGUUAAAAAGUACUUGAAAUUGUUGAGGGGGAAGGGAUUGGAAGUCGCGGGUGCGCCCAGGCUGAUGCUCGUCCUUACCGACGUGCUGUAUGUGCUGGGUGCUGGUCAGCAUCGAUUGGCGGGGCGGGAGAAAAGCGGUGGUUGAUACGCCGCCUAUGUCGCUCCGCCGAUCGAGGUCUCAAGCGCGCGCUCUGCGUGUCCUCGGACAACUGCGCGCUCAAGAUGCUGGCGCAAGGCUUCCAAUCUGCCCGUCUUGAAACACGGACCAAGGAGUCUAACAUGUAUGCGAGUUGGUGGGUGGAAAACCCAUGAAGCGCAAGUAACCUGACUGGUGGGAGGGCCCUCAAAGCCCGCACCAUCGACCGACCAUGAUCUUCUGUGAAAGGUUUGAGUACGAGCAUACCUGUUGGGACCCGAAAGAUGGUGAACUAUGCCUGAGCGGGCGAAGCCAGAGGAAACUCUGGUGGAGGCUCGUAGAUGUGCUGACGUGCAAAUCGCUUUUCGGACUUGGGUAUAGGGGCGAAAGACUAAUCGAACCAU
This 572-nucleotide non-coding RNA is filed under the name Beta vulgaris subsp. vulgaris (sugar beet). Its description in RNAcentral is "Eukaryotic large subunit ribosomal RNA". It matches the Rfam family "Eukaryotic large subunit ribosomal RNA", at positions 354 to 943 of the family's 3401-position model. Lineage: Eukaryota; Viridiplantae; Streptophyta; Magnoliopsida; Caryophyllales; Amaranthaceae. The record is from Rfam by way of RNAcentral.